Carica papaya (papaya) is the source of this 620-nucleotide non-coding RNA. Lineage: Eukaryota; Viridiplantae; Streptophyta; Magnoliopsida; Brassicales; Caricaceae. The record is from RefSeq and is a predicted model, not a curated record.
UUUUUUUCAAUUUCUUCACAAUUGACCCAGGGUGCUAUCGGUCAUCUGCUUGGUGCAGCUGGAGCUGUUGAAGCAAUUUUUUCUGUUUUAGCAAUACACCAUGGUGUAGCCCCUUUAUCACUUAAUAUUGCUGAACCAGAUCCCAUGUUUAAUAAUACCUUUAUGCCUUUGACCCUUUCAAAAGAGAUGCCAGUUAGAGCAGCCCUGUCAAACUCUUUUGGUUUUGGAGGAACAAAUGCAUCCCUGCUUUUCAAAUCUGGCCCAUGGCAGUGAUUGAGUACCAGAUUUUCUUCCUUGGAUAACUGAAAGUGUGAACAAUGAGGUUUUCUUGUUCUUCAAGCAUCAUGCACAUCUAGGGUUUCUCACUUACAAGGUAGAGAGUGAGUCCAAGGAUUGAUCAUGACGGUAUAGCUUGAUAAUUUUGUCUCUAAAUGUUAUCUCCGGUUUCUUUUGUAACAAUAGAAAUUUCAUAAUUCAAAUUGUACUUUAUUCAUUCUGAAACUAAAGUGUGGCCAGAGAAAAAUACCCUGGUGAUUAAGUCUCUCUUGGCCAGCAUUUCUUUUGUAAAGCUGUAAAUAAGGUUUUUCUUUAUCCCAACGAUUCCAUGGGUGAUUUGGGUA